CAAUCGGCAGCGGGGGGCAAAAACCCAUCAGCAGUCGCAAUUGUUCGUCACUAGACAAUGUCGAAAUCACAACAAUCAACAUUCGAAAGAAACUUCUGGACCUUCCAGGCGGUCGAGUCUACUUUCAGACUUCGCGAGCUUCUCCGAUCGUUUGGCAUUCGAACGACACGCUGUACCACGUGUAUCGGUGUGUGUCAGUUGCCAUUCCCGUGUGUUUUGCGAUUGAAACACUCCGCGAUUAAAAUAUUUCGUCGACUCUUUCGAAACAUUUACUCGGACUAUCGUUGGCGUCCAGUUCAUUCCGAUUCAUUCCGAUCGAAUCGUACAUACGCGAGUGUCAGUGUCACGAGUGAGUGUCCGUUAUGAUGGACCCGACGUCGAGAACCAAGAUGCUAGAUCGGGAAGUCAGGAAGGAGCACGUACGACGUGAGCAACGAUAAAUUAUAUAUUUCCAGAUCUGGUGGCGCUUGUGGUCACUGCGGAUGCAGACACGCGUGGGGUUACAGUUCAAGUGGAUACAGGAUGCAGCACCGGAGGACUCGGUUCGGGCCGAGCAAGGGCGGCUCAAAGAUUUCGGAACGUAGCCAGUUCUGAGUUUCGAGCUAUUCAUUUCGUUUGCAGAUUUUCACUUCAUCUCUCGCCGAGAGCAAAUUCGUAAAUAUACCGAUCCUAGAUCAAAAUUUGAAUAAAUGAAAAUUUAUUCGCCGUUGUCGCGUUGACGUAUUCGCAUUAAAUGUCGUUAUAAUGAGAAUAUCAGUGUCGCGUCGCGAGUGAAGUGCAAUCAACGCUUAUGUACGACGACACGAAAGGACAACGUCAACAGGGACUGGACUUCCACCAGAUGCCAGGAGGAUGUAACAAGUUUCGUUGGUCUGACUGGACAUCGAGGGACUACAACGCAAAAUGGUGAGUAAUGAAUUUCAUCACUCAUAGAGUAUCAUUUCACACAUACGGAGAGAAUCUUAUACACGGAAAAAACAAUUCUGUUGGUGCAAACAACCGAAUUUUCGGUUGUUCAGACGAAAACUCGACUGUAGGAACAGGAAAAUUCCUUCACGAGGCUUCUGUAUAAUCAAUUGUUCUCAGUUGUUUCAACUGAAUUCUAAUAUCGUUGAAUGUUCAGACGAAUAUUUUCGGUUGCGACAACAGAAAUAUUAGUUUUCAUAACAGAGAUAUCGCUUCUGAUCACCUAAUUUUCAGUUGAUUCCUAAUUAGUUGCACCAACUGAAAUUUUUUUUGCGUGUAGUAACAAUUACUGUGCAGCCAAGGAGUAGAUCGACAUUAUGCAGUAAAGUUCUUAUCAGUAAUUCUUAUUCUAUUUUUUCAUCUCAUAUAUGUUACUACAUAUAUAUUUCAUUUUAUAUAUAUUUAUAUAUUUUCGGAACUGAAAUGUGCUAUUAAAACACCUGCUGGAUUUCUUUGGCGAAAUCUGCUAUAUUUUUAUCAUAAACUAUUAUGUUCCUUAGCAAGGUAGA
Molecule: long non-coding RNA, 1475 nt
Organism: Odontomachus brunneus
Lineage: Eukaryota; Metazoa; Arthropoda; Insecta; Hymenoptera; Formicidae
Exons: 4
Source: RefSeq, a predicted model, not a curated record